AUUGAACGCUGGCGGCAGGCCUAACACAUGCAAGUCGAGCGAGUGGCGGACGGGUGAGUAAUAUCUGGGGAUCUGCCCGAUGGAGGGGGAUAACUACUGGAAACGGUGGCUAAUACCGCAUACUAUCGGAUGUACCCAUAUGGGAUUAGCUAGUAGGUGGGGUAAAGGCUCACCUAGGCGACGAUCUCUAGCUGGUCUGAGAGGAUGACCAGCCACACUGGAACGGAGACACGGCCCAGACUCCUACGGGAGGCAGCAGUGGGGAAUAUUGCACAAUGGGCGCAAGCCUGAUGCAGCCAUGCCGCGUGUAUGAAGAAGGCCUUAGGGUUGUAAAGUACUUUCAGCGGGGAGGCGUUACCCGCAGAAGAAGCACCGGCUAACUCCGUGCCAGCAGCCGCGGUAAUAC
Molecule: ribosomal RNA, 406 nt
Filed under: uncultured bacterium
Lineage: Bacteria
Description: partial 16S ribosomal RNA
Rfam family: Bacterial small subunit ribosomal RNA
Source: RNAcentral